RNAcentral lists this ribosomal RNA (279 nucleotides) under uncultured bacterium. Its description in RNAcentral is "partial 16S ribosomal RNA". It matches the Rfam family "Bacterial small subunit ribosomal RNA", at positions 506 to 784 of the family's 1533-position model. The record is from RNAcentral.
UGCCAGCCGCCGCGGUAAUACAGGGGGUGCAAGCGUUGCUCGGAAUAACUGGGCGUAAAGGGUCUGUAGGCGGCCGCUCAAGUUGGAUGUGAAAUCCCCAGGCUCAACCUGGGAACUGCAUCCAAAACUGGGUGGCUCGAGUUCGGGAGAGGGAAGCAGAAUUCCCAGUGUAGAGGUGAAAUUCGUAGAGAUUGGGAGGAAUACCAGAUGCGAAGGCGGCUUCCUGGACCGAUACUGACGCUGAGGGACGAAAGCAUGGGGAGCAAACAGGAUUAGAUA